AUACGGAGCGUGCAAGCGUUAUUCGGAAUCACUGGGCGUAAAGGACGCGUAGGCGGGUUGGCAAGUCAGAUGUGAAAUCCUACAGCUUAACUGUAGAACUGCAUUUGAAACUGCUAACCUAGAGUAUGGGAGGGGGAGAUGGAAUUAGUGGUGUAGGGGUAAAAUCCGUAGAUAUCACUAGGAAUACCGAAAGCGAAGGCGAUCUCCUGGAACAUAACUGACGCUAAGGCGUGAAAGCGUGGGGAGCAAACAGGAUUAGAAACCCCAGUAGUCC
RNAcentral lists this ribosomal RNA (274 nucleotides) under uncultured bacterium. Its description in RNAcentral is "partial 16S ribosomal RNA". It matches the Rfam family "Bacterial small subunit ribosomal RNA", at positions 523 to 796 of the family's 1533-position model. The record is from RNAcentral.